RNAcentral lists this long non-coding RNA (317 nucleotides) under Hordeum vulgare. RNAcentral's name for it is "long non-coding RNA (HVUL_LNC000397)". The record is from RNAcentral. Lineage: Eukaryota; Viridiplantae; Streptophyta; Magnoliopsida; Poales; Poaceae.
UCAGCAGCAGCACCAUCAAUAACAACCUGAGCCUAUUUUUUAAAACAUAUCUAUGCAAUCUUGCCUAUUUUUCAGAACAUAUCUUUGCAAUCUUGAUACGCUUCCUCGACAGGUAGUUCAUCUUCGCAUCCAUCCACACCCAGCUCUUCCGGUGCUAGUCCACACUAAAGAGCUUCAGAUCAUCCUCAACCUUCAUCACAUGGCCAACCGUCUCCAGCUGAAGCUGCACUCGUUUGAAGGAUAAAGGGGUACACUAUUGGCAUUCUCUCAUUUCAGUACUGCUUGCAUCUUUCUUCUAUAUAUAUACAAAUAUCCCG